This 391-nucleotide unclassified non-coding RNA is filed under the name soil metagenome. RNAcentral's name for it is "partial contains 5.8S ribosomal RNA, internal transcribed spacer 2, and large subunit ribosomal RNA". The stretch from base 1 to 122 matches the Rfam family "5.8S ribosomal RNA", at positions 35 to 154 of the family's 154-position model. The record is from RNAcentral.
GAUGAAGAACGUAGCGAAAUGCGAUACUUGGUGUGAAUUGCAGAAUCCCGUGAACCAUCGAGUCUUUGAACGCAAGUUGCGCCCGAAGCCAUUAGGCCGAGGGCACGCCUGCCUGGGCGUCACACGUCGUUGCCCCCCCAUCUACUCCUUCGGGAUUGCGGGGGGCGGAUGAUGGCCUCCCGUGCGCCUCGUCGCGCGGUUGGCAUAAAUGCCAAGUCCUCGGCGACGCACGCCACGACAAUCGGUGGUUGCGAAACCUCGGUUGCCCGUUGUGUGCGGUCGUCGCGCAUCGAGGGCUCGAAAAAAUUGCCGGGCUCCGGCUCGACUUUCAACGCGACCCCAGGUCAGGCGGGGUUACCCGCUGAAUUUAAGCAUAUCAAUAAGCGGAGGA